Molecule: small nuclear RNA, 111 nt
Filed under: Salvator merianae (Argentine black and white tegu)
Lineage: Eukaryota; Metazoa; Chordata; Lepidosauria; Squamata; Teiidae
Source: RNAcentral
UUUUCCUUAGGCAAACCGUAAAAGCAUACUAAAAUUGAAAAGAUACAGAGAAGAUUAGCAUGGCUNCUGCACAAGGAUGACAUGCAAACAUGUGAAGAUUUCCAUAUUUUU